GCCUGGUUGGCUCAGUUGGUGGAGCAUGUGAUUCUUGAUCUUGGGGUUGUAAGUUCCAGCUCCACUUGGGUGUAGAGAAUACUUAAAAACAACAUCUUUAAAAAAAUUUUUUAAAAAUAAAAUCAUUAUUUAAAAAAUAAAAAGUAAGUAGAUCAAGAAGUCACAAUUAAGGGGCGCCUGGGUGGCACAGCGGUUAAGUGUCUGCCUUCGGCUCAGGGUGUGAUCCCGGCGUUAUGGGAUCGAGUCCCACAUCAGGCU
This 258-nucleotide transfer RNA is filed under the name Ailuropoda melanoleuca (giant panda). Its description in RNAcentral is "tRNA-Lys". The record is from RNAcentral. Lineage: Eukaryota; Metazoa; Chordata; Mammalia; Carnivora; Ursidae.